CCAGUGGCGUAACAAAUGACCUGGGUUUCCUGUAAUGGCAAUAGUUACACGCUCGUACAGGACCCUGCAAUUAAGUGAGCUCUAGUCACGGCUCCCCAUGGGGUUAAGCAUAACUACAGAAUGAAUGUGGAGACUACUACCAGCUCCAUGAGGAUGUUUGGCAGUGGCAUGAACACACAGUUCAGGGAAGUGAAGGAACAACAUUGACACAGAUCACGUUCCAGGGAUGGCACCCUGCAUGGUGUCUGGAGAAUACCAGGUGCCAGAAACAGUGAUGGGAGAAGGUGGAGCUGCAGUUUUCAUCUCUCACUGUUUCCACAAAACCUCAAUCUGCCAAUCAACCUGAGAAGAUGGAAAUUAUGGAAAUUAAUUAUUAUUUAUCUCAUAAUGAGAUAAAAACAAUGGAACAACAUUAUUUUCCAAAACAAACAAAUAAACCCCCUUGAGGUAAACA
Molecule: long non-coding RNA, 454 nt
Filed under: Cyanistes caeruleus (blue tit)
Lineage: Eukaryota; Metazoa; Chordata; Aves; Passeriformes; Paridae
Description: lncRNA (ENSCCEG00000008635.1)
Source: RNAcentral